This 253-nucleotide ribosomal RNA is filed under the name uncultured bacterium. RNAcentral describes it as "partial 16S ribosomal RNA". It matches the Rfam family "Bacterial small subunit ribosomal RNA", at positions 524 to 776 of the family's 1533-position model. The record is from RNAcentral.
UACGGAGGGUGCAAGCGUUGUCCGGAUUUAUUGGGUUUAAAGGGUGCGUAGGCGGGUUAGUAAGUCAGUGGUGAAAGCCGGCAGCUCAACUGUCGAAUUGCCAUUGAUACUGUUAACCUUGAGUAUAGUUGAGGUAGGCGGAAUGAGUCGUGUAGCGGUGAAAUGCAUAGAUAUGACUCAGAACACCGAUAGCGUAGGCAGCUUACUAAGCUAUAACUGACGCUGAGGCACGAAAGCGUGGGGAGCGAACAGG